CGUAGGUACGAGCGUUGUCCGGAAUUAUUGGGCGUAAAGAGCUCGUAGGUGGUUGGUCACGUCUGCUGUGGAAACGCAACGCUUAACGUUGCGCGUGCAGUGGGUACGGGCUGACUAGAGUGCAGUAGGGGAGUCUGGAAUUCCUGGUGUAGCGGUGAAAUGCGCAGAUAUCAGGAGGAACACCGGUGGCGAAGGCGGGACUCUGGGCUGUAACUGACACUGAGGAGCGAAAGCAUGGGAGCGAACAGGAUU
This 252-nucleotide ribosomal RNA is filed under the name uncultured bacterium. RNAcentral's name for it is "partial 16S ribosomal RNA". It matches the Rfam family "Bacterial small subunit ribosomal RNA", at positions 526 to 779 of the family's 1533-position model. The record is from RNAcentral.